UUUUAUUGGAGAGUUUGAUCCUGGCUCAGGACGAACGCUGGCGGCGUGCCUAAUACAUGCAAGUCGAGCGGACUUGAGGGA
This 81-nucleotide ribosomal RNA is filed under the name Mesobacillus campisalis. Its description in RNAcentral is "Bacillus campisalis partial 16S ribosomal RNA". It matches the Rfam family "Bacterial small subunit ribosomal RNA", at positions 1 to 79 of the family's 1533-position model. The record is from RNAcentral. Lineage: Bacteria; Bacillati; Bacillota; Bacilli; Caryophanales; Bacillaceae.